UUAUGCUGCUUCUAACCGUCCNUUGUCUUAUGACUGACAAAUAAUGACAUUUGACUCAUAGGGGGCACCCGAUA
RNAcentral lists this ribosomal RNA (74 nucleotides) under Crepidotus sp. VR-2011. Its description in RNAcentral is "partial 28S ribosomal RNA". The record is from RNAcentral. Lineage: Eukaryota; Fungi; Basidiomycota; Agaricomycetes; Agaricales; Crepidotaceae.